UUUUGCCCCAAUUGGGGGCUCAAGCCCUGAGGUCCACCCCUUCUCUCUCGUGUUUGAAAGAAAGGCCCUUCGGGGUGCUAAAGGCACUUUCCAGCGGGGGAGGAAAGCCGCUAACGGUUAAUAAACCUUGGCCGAUUGGACCUUACCCCGCAGAAGGAAGCACCCGGCUUAACUUCCGUGCGCAGCCAGCCGCCGGUAAAUACGGAGGGGUCCAAGCGUUUAAUCCGGAAUUUACUGGGGCGUAAAAGCGAACGCAGGCGGUUCUGUCAAGUUCGGAUGUGAAAUCCCCCGGGCUCAACCUGGGAACUGCAUUCGAAACUGGCAGGCUAGAGUCUUGUAGAGGGGGGUAGAAUUCCAGGUGUAGCGGUGAAAUGCGUAGAGAUCUGGAGGAAUACCGGUGGCGAAGGCGGCCCCCUGGACAAAGACUGACGCUCAGGUGCGAAAGCGUGGGGAGCAAACAGGAUUAGAUACCCUGGUAGUCCACGCCGUAAACGAUGUCGAUUUGGAGGUUGUGCCCUUGAGGCGUGGCUUCCGGAGCUAACGCGUUAAAUCGACCGCCUGGGGAGUACGGCCGCAAGGUUAAAACUCAAAUGAAUUGACGGGGGCCCGCACAAGCGGUGGAGCAUGUGGUUUAAUUCGAUGCAACGCGAAGAACCUUACCUGGUCUUGACAUCCACAGAACUUAGCAGAGAUGCUUUGGUGCCUUCGGGAACUGUGAGACAGGUGCUGCAUGGCUGUCGUCAGCUCGUGUUGUGAAAUGUUGGGUUAAGUCCCGCAACGAGCGCAACCCUUAUCCUUUGUUGCCAGCGGUUAGGCCGGGAACUCAAAGGAGACUGCCAGUGAUAAACUGGAGGAAGGUGGGGAUGACGUCAAGUCAUCAUGGCCCUUACGACCAGGGCUACACACGUGCUACAAUGGCAUAUACAAAGAGAAGCGACCUCGCGAGAGCAAGCGGACCUCAUAAAGUAUGUCGUAGUCCGGAUUGGAGUCUGCAACUCGACUCCAUGAAGUCGGAAUCGCUAGUAAUCGUAGAUCAGAAUGCUACGGUGAAUACGUUCCCGGGCCUUGUACACACCGCCCGUCACACCAUGGGAGUGGGUUGCAAAAGAAGUAGGUAGCUUAUC
RNAcentral lists this ribosomal RNA (1124 nucleotides) under Klebsiella pneumoniae. RNAcentral's name for it is "bacterial SSU rRNA". It matches the Rfam family "Bacterial small subunit ribosomal RNA", at positions 331 to 1439 of the family's 1533-position model. The record is from RNAcentral. Lineage: Bacteria; Pseudomonadati; Pseudomonadota; Gammaproteobacteria; Enterobacterales; Enterobacteriaceae.